RNAcentral lists this ribosomal RNA (726 nucleotides) under uncultured bacterium. RNAcentral describes it as "bacterial SSU rRNA". It matches the Rfam family "Bacterial small subunit ribosomal RNA", at positions 63 to 767 of the family's 1533-position model. The record is from RNAcentral.
CACGCGAAAGUCUCCUUCGGGAGGCAAGUAGAGUGGCGAAAGGGCGAGUAAUGCAUGGGUAACGUACCCCCAGCACGGGGAUAGCCGCGGGAAACUGCGGGUAAUACCCGAUGAGACCACGGUGCCACAUGGCACAGCGGUCAAAGGGCGGGGAUCCCUUCGGGGACCUGCCGGCUGGUGAGCGGCCCAUGUCCUAUCAGCUUGUUGGUGAGGUAAAGGCUCACCAAGGCUAUGACGGGUAGCGGGACUGAGAGGUUGAUCCGCCGCAUUGGGACUGAGACACUGCCCAGACUCCUACGGGAGGCUGCAGUAACGAAUAUUGGACAAUGAGCGCAAGCUUGAUCCAGCAAUGCCGCGUGGGAAGAAGCUCUUCGGGGUGUAAACCACUGUCAGGGAUUACCAAGCGAUGAGGGCCAAUACCCCUCAAAGUUGAGGAGUCCCACAGGAAGCCACGGCUAACUUCGUGCCAGCAGCCGCGGUAAGACGAAGGUGGCUAGCGUUGUUCGGAAUCACUGGGCUUAAAGAGCACGUAGGCGGUCCAUCAAGCGUUUUGUGAAAUCCCUCGGCUCAACCGAGGAAUUGCUUGGCGAACUGAUGGACUUGAGGCAGGCAGGGGCGAGUGGAACUCUUGGUGGAGCGGUGGAAUGCGUAGAUAUCAAGAGGAACGCCAGAGGCGAAGGCGACUCGCUGGGCCUGUCCUGACGCUGAGGUGCGAAAGCCAGGGGA